RNAcentral lists this ribosomal RNA (254 nucleotides) under uncultured bacterium. RNAcentral's name for it is "partial 16S ribosomal RNA". It matches the Rfam family "Bacterial small subunit ribosomal RNA", at positions 524 to 777 of the family's 1533-position model. The record is from RNAcentral.
UACGAAGGGGGCUAGCGUUGCUCGGAAUUACUGGGCGUAAAGCGCACGUAGGCGGCUUUCUAAGUCGGAGGUGAAAUCCUGGAGCUCAACUCCAGAACUGCCUUCGAUACUGGAGAGCUUGAGUCCGGGAGAGGUGAGUGGAACUGCGAGUGUAGAGGUGAAAUUCGUAGAUAUUCGCAAGAACACCAGUGGCGAAGGCGGCUCACUGGCCCGGUACUGACGCUGAGGCACGAAAGCGUGGGGAGCAAACAGGG